UAUGCUGUAGUAUAAGAUGUACAUUGAAUUUUGAUUUCUGAGGUGUUAGUUUAAAUCUAAUCGGUGUAG
RNAcentral lists this transfer RNA (69 nucleotides) under Obrium sp. NS-2015. RNAcentral's name for it is "tRNA-Gln". It matches the Rfam family "tRNA". Rfam says of the family: Transfer RNA (tRNA) molecules are approximately 80 nucleotides in length. Their secondary structure includes four short double-helical elements and three loops (D, anti-codon, and T loops). Lineage: Eukaryota; Metazoa; Arthropoda; Insecta; Coleoptera; Cerambycidae. The record is from RNAcentral.